ACAGCAGCAGCCACGGUAAUACGGAGGGUGCAAGCGUUAUCCGGAUUUAUUGGGUUUAAAGGGUCCGUAGGCGGACUUAUAAGUCAGUGGUGAAAGCCUGUCGCUUAACGAUAGAACUGCCAUUGAUACUGUAAGUCUUGAGUAUAUUUGAGGUAGCUGGAAUAAGUAGUGUAGCGGUGAAAUGCAUAGAUAUUACUUAGAACACCAAUUGCGAAGGCAGGUUACCAAGAUAUAACUGACGCUGAGGGACGAAAGCGUGGGUAGCGAACAGGAUUAGAGACCCCUGUAGUCCCUGUCUCUUAUAA
This 305-nucleotide ribosomal RNA is filed under the name uncultured bacterium. RNAcentral's name for it is "partial 16S ribosomal RNA". It matches the Rfam family "Bacterial small subunit ribosomal RNA", at positions 506 to 809 of the family's 1533-position model. The record is from RNAcentral.